RNAcentral lists this ribosomal RNA (166 nucleotides) under Ariosoma gilberti. Its description in RNAcentral is "partial small subunit ribosomal RNA". The record is from RNAcentral. Lineage: Eukaryota; Metazoa; Chordata; Actinopteri; Anguilliformes; Congridae.
CACCGCGGUUAUACGAGAGGCUCAAGCUGAUGAUAACGGCGUAAAGAGUGAUUAGAGAACAGAAUGCUAAAGCUGAAAUAACCCUAGGUAGUAAAAUACUUUGCGGGGAGAGAACGCCUAAAACGAAAGUAGCUUUAACACGCUUGAAUUCACGACCCUUGAGAAA